RNAcentral lists this ribosomal RNA (533 nucleotides) under Trigonopterus sp. 821 AR-2022a. Its description in RNAcentral is "partial large subunit ribosomal RNA". It matches the Rfam family "Bacterial large subunit ribosomal RNA", at positions 1828 to 2625 of the family's 2925-position model. Lineage: Eukaryota; Metazoa; Arthropoda; Insecta; Coleoptera; Curculionidae. The record is from RNAcentral.
GGCCUGUAGAGUAUAAUUUCAGGUCUAACCUGCCCACUGAUAUUUAAAGGGCCGCGGUAUAUUGACCGUGCAAAGGUAGCAUAAUCAUUAGUUUUUUAAUUAAAAGCUUGUAUGAAAGGUUUGAUGAGAGAAAAUCUGUCUCUUUGAGAGUUUAUUUGAAUUUUAUUUUUAAGUAAGAAAGCUUAAAUUUUUAUAGAAGACGAGAAGACCCUAUAGAGUUUUAUAUUUAGGUUUUUAAAAAGUUGAGGGGUAAUGAGUUUUUAAAAAUUUUAAUUAUUUUAUUGGGGUGAUAGAAAAAUUGAGUUAACUUUUUCUUAAUUUUAACAUUGAUUUAUGGGUGGUUGAUCCUAAAUUUUAGAUUAAAAGAUUAAAUUACCUUAGGGAUAACAGCGUAAUUUUUCUUAGAGUUCUUAUCGAAUGAAAAGUUUGCGACCUCGAUGUUGGAUUAAAAUUAAUUGUUGGUGUAGAAGCUAGUGGAUUAGGUCUGUUCGACCUUUAAAAUUUUACAUGAUCUGAGUUUAGACCGGCGUGAG